This is an RNA transcript of Grammomys surdaster, 3600 nucleotides long. It is a transcript of the gene named interleukin 1 receptor accessory protein, with no coding region annotated. The record is from RefSeq and is a predicted model, not a curated record. Lineage: Eukaryota; Metazoa; Chordata; Mammalia; Rodentia; Muridae. The transcript is spliced from 5 exons.
AUUAAUAAUAUGGUGGGAAACUGUGGUCACUAAAUAGAAGUUAAUUAUCAUUAUCGUAUUUUAUCAUUUGCUAUAGUCAUACCACCAAGGUACACAGUAGAACUCGCCUGUGGUUUUGGAGCCACGGUCUUUUUGGUGGUGGUUCUCAUCGUGGUCUACCAUGUUUACUGGCUCGAGAUGGUCCUCUUUUACCGGGCUCAUUUUGGAACAGAUGAAACAAUUCUUGAUGGAAAGGAGUAUGACAUUUAUGUUUCCUAUGCAAGAAAUGCUGAAGAAGAGGAAUUUGUGUUACUGACACUACGUGGAGUUUUGGAGAAUGAAUUUGGAUACAAGCUGUGCAUCUUCGACAGAGACAGCCUGCCUGGGGGAAAUACGGUGGAAGCAGUGUUUGAUUUCAUUCAGCGGAGCCGAAGGAUGAUUGUUGUCUUGAGCCCGGACUAUGUGACAGAAAAGAGCAUCAGUAUGCUGGAGUUUAAGCUGGGUGUCAUGUGCCAGAACUCCAUUGCCACUAAGCUCAUUGUGGUGGAGUACCGUCCGCUUGAGCAACCCCACCCAGGCAUCAUGCAGCUGAAGGAGUCUGUGUCGUUUGUAAGCUGGAAAGGAGAAAAAUCCAAACAUUCUGGCUCCAAGUUCUGGAAGGCCUUGCGCUUGGCUCUUCCUCUGAGAAGCCUGAGCGCCAGCUCCGGCUGGAAUGAGAGCUGUUCUUCUCAGUCUGACAUCAGUCUGGACCAUGUUCAGAGGAGAAGUCGUUUGAAAGAGCCCCCAGAACUCCGAAGCUCAGAGAGGGUGUCUGGAGCAGCGCCAGCCCCAGGCACCAUGUCCAAGCACCGAGGGAAGCCCUCGGCAGCCUGUCGCUGCUGUGUCACCUACUGUGAAGGAGAAAGUCACCUCAGGAGCAAGAGUCGGGCAGAGAUGCACACCCACCCCCAGUGGGAAACACACCUCUGAGACAAAAGACCUGAAGCACCUGUAUCCAGUUAUUGCCUCUAACGGCCUUGGAAGAGCACACUCUUCUCGGGCCCUAGAAGGCUCUGAUUUUCUCCAGCCAAGGAGGACCACAAAUCAUCCUUUUAACAGUGUUUGCAGGCAAUAGCUGAAAAUGAAGGGCCUGUUUAGCCCUUGGAAUUGUCUCAGCAUAAGCAAACAAUCGAAUAGAGUGGUUGGUAGAAUGUAUUUAUAAUGUAUGAACUAUCUAACACUACUCUUUGGAACUUGGUGGGAGUGUUCCAGCCAUCGUCUGUAUUAGAGUAAGAUAAGUUAUGCUGGGCUAAUACUUCAAUAACUUCCCAUUACACAUCUUAUUUUUGCUGAUGCUAAGGGUCCAGCUUAGGGGCUUGCAGUUUUGUGUCCUUGCCGUGUGAAAUGUGUAGCUUGCAGUUGUCCUAUACUUGAGCUUAAAUUGACACUCCUUAAUUUCUUUCUCUUAUAUUUUAUUAAGUAGAACUAUCUCCAGGGUUCUGGAGUCAUAGAGAAGGCUACAAAAACAUAUUCUAGUGCCACUGGAAAGGGAAGAUUCCAUUGAACUUUUUGAACACAUGGCAUAGUCUUCUUCUACAAAUGAGAUGAGGAUGAGAUGUGUAUGUAAGCUGAUGAAGCUAGGAAGUACUAUCAAUCUUCUAUUACUCCAUCUAAUAAAAUAAACAAAAGACUUUGAUGUUCACAUCUAACAUCAGUGUGCCAAGAUAUCAAGAUGAAACCCCAUGCAUAAAAGAAUAAAGCUUUCACAUAAAUGUUCCCUAAAUGAAGGUUGUUGACAGACUGUGUUAUAAUAAUUACAGUUUCUGUAAACUUGGUUGAAAAAAGUUAAUAGUUGCCAUAUUUGGUUACUUUCUAUUUAGUGGCUUAGGUAAGUACUCUCUAAAAAUGUGAUGCUUAAACUGUUUGCAAAUGAGCCGUUUCAUUUUGGAAAUUCAGGGAGCCUCAGAAGAAUUGAAGGCAUUUAGAACACAGCAGAGCAUGUAACAUGGUCAUUAGGAAGCACCAUUGAUCCAUUUAUCUGAAGACUUAAACAGGGAAUAACUCAGAUGAAAGAGACCAGUACCUGUGUGGGUGUCAUGGAGUCUGUAACUACUCUCUUUUUGUUUUCUCUCUUUCAGAUUGGGUUCUAUUGCCAUUAAGUAUUUGAACUUUUAUACAAAUUUUUCUAAUGUAUACAGUAUUAUUUGGUAAUAAAUUAAAGCUCUCCUUGGUUUGGCAAAAAUAAAUAUUUCAGAGUCUUGAGACAUGAGAACAGCCCGUAGUGUCAAACAAAGAAGGACUUUGUUUCUUGAUGUCUUGAGGAAAUUGCUCAACAUCCAAAAUCCUUCUAAGAAUGGCUCACAUAGUUUCUUCUUGAAUCUUUCAAAUAUGUAAAAAUUUGAAAAUGUAAAGAACAGCUUUCUGAAAAGUUUGCAUGGGUAGAAAAGUAGAACUUUGCAAACAAUAUCUGUCAGCAGAUCAUGAGCUGUACUUCUCUUUCCCUGGAUGAAUUUUAUUUGAAUAUUUUAUGAAUAUAUGGUACAAACAAUUUUAAACUGUGUGUAGUGGAGCAUCCCUGCAAUUCCAACCCUAGACCAUGCUGUGUGCCACAGUAAGUUAAGUUCUAGGCCAGCCUGGGAUAAAUAGUGAGGUCACCCAUUCCAAAAUAAGAUUAAAAUAACCCCUGAUUUUCAUUUAUUUAACUCACUGAUUUAUUUUAAUUGUGAUAGCUGUGUCUCAGACUUAUCUUAGAUCCAGGGACAAGUGUUUCUGAACUAGAAAGGAACUUAGUCUUUGAGGCCAAUUGUACCUACCUGUGGUGUGCCACAGACAAUCAAUCCUCUCCGAAAUGAUUUAGAUCUUUGAUCUUGAUGAGGAUGACUGCUUUAAGCACCUUUAUAAUUUCUGAACAGUAGUCAACAAAAAUUCUGUAAUGAUACCUUGUACAUAGGGAAUGAAAGGGAAAAAUAAAUACUAAUAUCAUGGAUAGUAUUUUUCCUCCUUAAAGUGUAAAACUUAAAAUUCAUUGCCAAAUGCUGUAACUGAAUUAUUUGUUUAAAGGAAAAGAUAAAGAAAUCUUUUAGCGUUUUUAGUUCUUGGCUUUUAUAUUGUUUCAUAUUGAUUAUGAGAUAGUGAGAAAAUAACAAUGAAGAACAUAAAAUUACAAAAGUUAAUAAAGUUACUAACUUGAAUACCCAAAGAAGACAAUAGUCUUAAUGUUUAUUAUUUUCCUAUGGCCAGUCCCUAAAGCAGUCACUUGGUUAUUAGCAAAUUCUAUUAAUGAUAUCUAAGAAGACCCCUAGGGCAAUCAGGCCCUAUUUCCCUACUUCUGAGUAGCAAGAUAAAAGGAAAAAUGUGUAAAAUCUCCUUGGUACUGGAUGAAUAAGAUGUUGUGUGGAUUUCAGGGCUUAGGAAACAAAAGUAGACAGUCAUUCCCAUUGUAAGCUUUAUAUUGUUUACGAUAUUACUUUGGAGUCAGGACAUAUGCUUUGGGAUAACAGUUACUAUAGUAAAUGUGCAUUUCAAUAGCACAUGUUUGCUCUAAAAUUCUCAGUUUCUUCAUGUUAAGUGGAAAUAAUAUCUACCUCAUUGAAUUGUUGUAAGGGUAAAAUUAAACAAUAAAUGUGAACUUCUAAAAUCUGU